UACGAAGGGUGCAAACGUUGCUCGGAAUUAUUGGGCGUAAAGCGCACGUAGGCGGCUUGGCAAGUCGGAUGUGAAAUCCCUCGGCUCAACCAAGGAAGUGCAUCCGAAACUGCUGAGCUUGAGUACUUAAGAGGAUCGCGGAAUUCCCGGUGUAGAGGUGAAAUUCGUAGAUAUUAGGAAGAACACCAGUGGCGAAGGCGGCUCACUGGUCCGGUACUGACGCUGAGGUGCGAAAGCGUGGGGAGCAAACAGG
This 253-nucleotide ribosomal RNA is filed under the name uncultured bacterium. RNAcentral's name for it is "partial 16S ribosomal RNA". It matches the Rfam family "Bacterial small subunit ribosomal RNA", at positions 524 to 776 of the family's 1533-position model. The record is from RNAcentral.